UUUACCAGAGUACUAUGAAUAUUUAAAGAUUUAAAACUCAAAGAACUUGGCGGUGUUUUAGACCACUCAGGGGAACCUGUCUCGUAAUCGACAAUCCACGUUGUACCUGACCUUUUUUUGUUUUCAGUUUGUAUACCGUUGUCGUCAGGUAACUUUUUAGAAAUUAGAAGUUAGCAGUAAAAAUAUUGAUGAUUUAGUACGUCAAAUCAAGGUGCAGCUAAUAAAAAGGGGAGGAUGGGUUACAAUUAUAUGAUUUAUAAUAACGGAUAAACAUACGAAUGUAUGUUAAAUUAUAAGGCGGACUUGAAAGUAAAUUGAAAUAUGUAAGUAAUUUGAAUGAGGCUCUGAAACGUGU
RNAcentral lists this ribosomal RNA (355 nucleotides) under Myurella multistriata. RNAcentral's name for it is "Clathroterebra multistriata partial 12S ribosomal RNA". The record is from RNAcentral. Lineage: Eukaryota; Metazoa; Mollusca; Gastropoda; Neogastropoda; Terebridae.